AGCGAACGCUGGCGGCAGGCCUAACACAUGCAAGUCGAACGAACCUUUCGGGGUUAGUGGCGGACGGGUGAGUAACACGUGGGAACGUGCCUUUAGGUUCGGAAUAACUCAGGGAAACUUGUGCUAAUACCGAAUGUGCCCUUCGGGGGAAAGAUUUAUCGCCUUUAGAGCGGCCCGCGUCUGAUUAGCUAGUUGGUUGAGGUAAUGGCUCACCAAGGCGACGAUCAGUAGCUGGUCUGAGAGGAUGAUCAGCCACAUUGGGACUGAGACACGGCCCAAACUCCUACGGGAGGCAGCAGUGGGGAAUCUUGCGCAAUGGGCGAAAGCCUGACGCAGCCAUGCCGCGUGAAUGAUGAGGGUCUUAGGAUUGUAAAAUUCUUUCACCGGGGACGAUAAUGACGGUACCCGGAGAAGAAGCCCCGGCUAACUUCGUG
RNAcentral lists this ribosomal RNA (434 nucleotides) under uncultured bacterium. Its description in RNAcentral is "partial 16S ribosomal RNA". It matches the Rfam family "Bacterial small subunit ribosomal RNA", at positions 29 to 507 of the family's 1533-position model. The record is from RNAcentral.